GUCUAUAUAGAUUCUUAAUAUAAAGUCUAACCUGCCCACUGAGUUAUUAAAGGGCUGCGGUAAUUUGACCGUGCAAAGGUAGCAUAAUCAGUAGUCUUUUAAUUGAAGGCUUGAAUGAACGGUUGGAUGAGGGAAAAACUGUCUCUCCCAUAAAUUGAAAUUUGACCUUUAAGUGAAAAGGCUUAAAUCAACUAAGGGGACGAUAAGACCCUAUAAAACUUAAUAUAAAUUAUAUUUUGUUCUUAAAUUAUAAAUAAUCAUAAUAAAAUCUAGUUUAUAUUUUGUUGGGGAGAUAUUGAUAUAAAUUGUAACUGUCUAAUCUAAAAAACAUAAUUAUUAUUAUAAUGUGAUCCUUCACUGAGGAUAAAAAGAAUAAGUUACUUUAGGGAUAACAGCGUAAUUUUUUCUGAGAGUUCUUAUCGAAGAAAGUAGUUGCGACCUCGAUGUUGAAUUAAAAUUUCAGUUAGGUGUAGCCGCUUAGCU
RNAcentral lists this ribosomal RNA (483 nucleotides) under Palaemon paucidens. Its description in RNAcentral is "partial 16S ribosomal RNA". It matches the Rfam family "Bacterial large subunit ribosomal RNA", at positions 1829 to 2568 of the family's 2925-position model. The record is from RNAcentral. Lineage: Eukaryota; Metazoa; Arthropoda; Malacostraca; Decapoda; Palaemonidae.